Molecule: small nucleolar RNA, 100 nt
Organism: Cyclopterus lumpus (lumpfish)
Lineage: Eukaryota; Metazoa; Chordata; Actinopteri; Perciformes; Cyclopteridae
Source: Ensembl
AUCCUUCUGGUUCAUGAGUGUGAUGAAUGGUGCGUUCACGGACCCUCUGUGAAAGGUGCUGCCUUCACUUGUUACGCAAUGCGCCUCAGCCCUUCUGAUC